UGGACUGAUGUGUGGGGCAGGACGUGUGCUGGGUGCACUGGGGUCCCCAGAAGGACGUGUCCGAGCGCUGCCAACUGAAGGGACUCAAGAAAGAUCGUCCAGUGACGAGUCCUUCUAAGAGAGGAGAAGACGCACAGAUGUGCAGCGAGAGGCCGAGAUCAGAGGGCCACGGCCGCAGCCCGGGAGCGCGUGGAGGCUGGAAGAGGCCGGGAGGGUCCUGCUGCAGGGCCUCUGCAGGAAGCACGGCCCCGGAUCUCCGGUCUCUGGCCUCCAGACCGUGUGCGAAUAAAUCUCUGCCCUUCUGAACCCCUAGACCAGGGCAGUUUGUCACGGAUCCCUGGGAACGGGUACACACGUCAUCUCUCCUCGAGACCUUGGUUUAAAGGAAAUCUGCCAGACACGCUGCUGCUGGACUUGAAUUAGAGGAAGUCGCUGGGCACCAGCUGGAAACUGUCCCCCAAGAAGACACGGGGGCUCGGGAGGUCUGGGGUCACCAUUCUCUUGGGACCGGAGAUGAGCUCCAAGGAGCUCCAGAAAGCAGUAGGGCUUCCUGGGUCCAAGGCACGAAGAUACCUGCUCCCGGCACGCAUUUGCUCAUGGAGGUUGGAAUAAGCAGCCUCCUCGGGCACUUCCAUCGUCCCGCUGAAGGCGCGACCGCAGGCCGUGUCCCGUUCUCAGCACACACGAGGCGUGAGCAAAACGCGGCUUGAUCAUGUGUUGACGUUGACCAUGAGGAGCAGAGCUCUUCAGCGGUUCACAGUAUAACCAAGCCCCCGCGUUCCAAGUGACAGCAUCCCUGCUUCUGUUGAGGCCACCGUGCCCGGCGGGUUGGUGGGGACGGACUCUCCCCAGGGACACGGGGUGCAUGGGAGCCCCCCUGGCAGAGGGGUCCGAGCCACAGCCCAGGCUGUCACAGCCCCGGUGACAUCUCACCGCCACCAGUGUGGGGGUGCAGGGGGAGGGGGUCUUUCUCUGCCACCACCCUGUCACCACACAGAGUCCUCUGCAGCUCUAGAAAUACACUAAACAGACAACCUAGAGGACCAACUUCUCAACCGAGGCUUAUUUAAGUUUUUUCAGCAGACACCGCAAUGCACUUUUUCUGGUUAAUUCUGUGUGUUUUACAGUGGGGGCUCGUUACCUUGACCUUGGUGCCUGCUGGGCUUCAGAGGGGACUCCUGGGUGUGCAGAGCGGGGGACCGCCGGAGGCUGGGCAGGGGUCCCCACGCCGUAACCGUGCCAUCCAGGGUGGGAGCACCGGCCGACGCUCGGUCCCCGAGGACGGCUGAAGAGCAGAUGAGAGCCGCGCUCAGGGAGGAGCCGAGCCGUGUCGCUCCAGGCUGGGCCAGGGCAGCGAGAGGGCAGCGAGAGGGCAGCGAGCUGGGCAGCGAGCUGGGCAGGCUGCGGGGAGGAGCUUGGGCGGCGUGACGGCGGCCCCCGGCCCCGGGUGCUGGUGCAGAGGACCGAAGGGAGAAGGGACGGUCCCCGCACGGGGGCAGACGCGGCCGAGUGAGGCAGGCGACCGUCCGGGACGCGCAGGGCACGCAGAGACAGCAACCACUGCGGGGGUGGGGGGGGAGGGGGAGCUCAGGAGCUCUUUUUGGCUCCUGUCAGGGUUGAGGUGCCUGUAGGACACCCCAGGUCACAGUCAGGCAGCUGGGGGGACCACAAGACUCUGGGGUAGGGAUCUGGGGUCAGGGGCUUCAUCGUGGACUUUGGGGUGCAGGAGUGGGUUACACCAUCUCCGGAAGCAGUAAGGAGGGAGUCCCCGAGGGGACCCAGCAGGGGCCGGCUUGGAGGGGUCGCAGGAAGCCGGCCAAUAAGCAGGAAACUGGAGCAGCCCCGACCCAGGGUUUGGGGUCAAAUCAGGGACAAUGUCAAAAAUACACACCAGCAAAUAGAUACCACGCAGAUAAGAUAAGGCACAGGUCAGGGGACAUGGAGGAAAAGCACGUUGGCUGGCUCGGCUCUGAGCAAGACGCGGUCACCAGAAGGUAAGCCAGAGCAACCUUCCAGUAGGACCCUGAGUCAGACACCUGCCAGCACAGCCGGGGCGCCAGCCCCACAUGUUUCUUGUCCCCUGAGGGGUCCUGUGUCCCUGGCUGCUAAGGGUGGCCACGUCCCCACGAUGGAAGUGGUGUGUUUCCAGGGCUGGUGUGAAGGGCUCGGGGCACGGUCCUCCGCACCCCUGCCCUAUCUGCCACCGGGGUCCUUGAUGACGACCGUGCAGGUGGCCAAGCUUCCGGAGCGAGGACCGGGCUCUCUGCUGGCCAGGAGCCCUUGUCUGAACCCAAGCUGGGAAGAUAUAGACCCCAACGUGCAGUUAACCUAGCCCAGCGGCCGGUGUGACCUGAUAGUAAAAACCACAGAAAAAUAAUGACAAACAAAACCCUUAGGAGUCGGAAGGGACGCCCCAGGACGUGGGGUUCGGAAGGGGUGGGGAGUGACCAGGAGCUAUGACUGUCCCCUUCCUACAGACGAGAAAUCAGGUGCUGGGGCCGCCUGCCCGGGACGUGGCUCUGUCAGUCGCGUUCCUACAAAACAAACCAUCCCCCAAUCGGCGGCACAAAGUACAUGUUAUUCCAUCCGCCAGGUCUGUGGGGCCGAGGGGCCGUUCUGCCAACCCGGGCUGGCUGUGACCCCUCAGCGCUGCUCCGGCUGUCCCUCCUCACAGGGCCCUUGGGUUUGAGUGCUCCUGGCGGUGUGAGGAGCACGUGUGAGCUCCCCACAUGUGCGGACCGCACCAGGACCCACCGGACCCAGGCCCGAGCCCGCUCGCCGACUCUGACCACCCUACGUCCCACCACUCACGGGACACACAAAACCUCCAGACCACGGAGAGGAAGCACCGAGACAGAGGCAUGGGUGUGGCUCACGGAGGCCUUUGGCCACCGGCACAGUCGGGUCAGCCCCGGAGCGGGUGCCAAAGCCCGGGGAUGACCUGCCGGUGUGGGCGUCGGAGCCAGGAGCUGGACGUGGGCGUCCACCUGUCAUCCGAUGUGGUUAGAAACGCGUCUGGUUACAGAACAGCACCAAAUGUUUUCUUUAUUAAUUUUGAGAAUAAGAGCGGAUUAAAACUUUCAUCUAUUUUAUGCCCUCAGUGAUGUAAAAUUUGUGAAUGAAAAAUGAUUGAAGUAA
This is a long non-coding RNA of Mustela lutreola (European mink), 3138 nucleotides long. RefSeq lists it as uncharacterized. Lineage: Eukaryota; Metazoa; Chordata; Mammalia; Carnivora; Mustelidae. The transcript is spliced from 2 exons. The record is from RefSeq and is a predicted model, not a curated record.